This 63-nucleotide transfer RNA is filed under the name Sagra femorata. RNAcentral describes it as "tRNA-Thr". The record is from RNAcentral. Lineage: Eukaryota; Metazoa; Arthropoda; Insecta; Coleoptera; Chrysomelidae.
GUUUUAAUAAUUUAAAUAAAAAUAUCGAUCUUGUAAAUCGAAAAUAAGAAACCUUUUAAAACA